RNAcentral lists this ribosomal RNA (1140 nucleotides) under uncultured Acinetobacter sp. Its description in RNAcentral is "bacterial SSU rRNA". It matches the Rfam family "Bacterial small subunit ribosomal RNA", at positions 251 to 1372 of the family's 1533-position model. The record is from RNAcentral. Lineage: Bacteria; Pseudomonadati; Pseudomonadota; Gammaproteobacteria; Moraxellales; Moraxellaceae.
GGUGGGGUAAAGGCCUACCAAGGCGACGAUCUGUAGCGGGUCUGAGAGGAUGAUCCGCCACACUGGGACUGAGACACGGCCCAGACUCCUACGGGAGGCAGCAGUGGGGAAUAUUGGACAAUGGGCGGAAGCCUGAUCCAGCCAUGCCGCGUGUGUGAAGAAGGCCUUUUGGUUGUAAAGCACUUUAAGCGAGGAGGAGGCUCCUUUAGUUAAUACCUAAAGUGAGUGGACGUUACUCGCAGAAUAAGCACCGGCUAACUCUGUGCCAGCAGCCGCGGUAAUACAGAGGGUGCGAGCGUUAAUCGGAUUUACUGGGCGUAAAGCGUGCGUAGGCGGCUUUUUAAGUCGGAUGUGAAAUCCCUGAGCUUAACUUAGGAAUUGCAUUCGAUACUGGAAAGCUAGAGUAUGGGAGAGGAUGGUAGAAUUCCAGGUGUAGCGGUGANAAUGCGUNAGAGANUCUGGAGNGAAUACCGAUGGCGAAGGCAGCCAUCUGGCCUAAUACUGACGCUGAGGUACGAAAGCAUGGGGAGCAAACAGGAUUAGAUACCCUGGUAGUCCAUGCCGUAAACGAUGUCUACUAGCCGUUGGGGCCUUUGAGGCUUUAGUGGCGCAGCUAACGCGAUAAGUAGACCGCCUGGGGANGUACGGNUCGCNAAGACUAAANANCNUCAAAUGAAUUGACGGGGGCCCGCACAAGCGGUGGAGCAUGUGGUUUAAUUCGAUGCAACGCGAAGAACCUUACCUGGCCUUGACAUACUAAGAACUUUCCAGAGAUGGAUUGGUGCCUUCGGGAACUUAGAUACAGGUGCUGCAUGGCUGUCGUCAGCUCGUGUCGUGAGAUGUUGGGUUAAGUCCCGCAACGAGCGCAACCCUUUUCCUUAUUUGCCAUCGGGUAAUGCCGGGAACUUUAAGGAUACUGCCAGUGACAAACUGGAGGAAGGCGGGGACGACGUCAAGUCAUCAUGGCCCUUACGGCCAGGGCUACACACGUGCUACAAUGGUCGGUACAAAGGGUUGCUACCUCGCGAGAGGAUGCUAAUCUCAAAAAGCCGAUCGUAGUCCGGAUCGCAGUCUGCAACUCGACUGCGUGAAGUCGGAAUCGCUAGUAAUCGCGGAUCAGAAUGCCGCGGUGAAUACGUU